UACGUAGGUGGCAAGCGUUGUCCGGAUUUAUUGGGCGUAAAGCGAGCGCAGGCGGUUUUUUAAGUCUGAUGUGAAAGCCCUCAGCUCCACUGAGGAAUUGCUUUGGAAACUGGAUGACUUGAGUGCAGUAGAGGAAAGUGGACCUCCAUGUGUAGCGGUGAAAUGCGUAGAUAUAUGGAAGAACACCAGUGGCGAAGGCGGCUUUCUGGACUGUAACUGACGUUGAGGCUCGAAAGUGUGGGUAGCAAAA
RNAcentral lists this ribosomal RNA (250 nucleotides) under uncultured Lactobacillaceae bacterium. RNAcentral describes it as "partial 16S ribosomal RNA". It matches the Rfam family "Bacterial small subunit ribosomal RNA", at positions 524 to 773 of the family's 1533-position model. The record is from RNAcentral. Lineage: Bacteria; Bacillati; Bacillota; Bacilli; Lactobacillales; Lactobacillaceae.